Molecule: transfer RNA, 69 nt
Filed under: Lysmata debelius (fire shrimp)
Lineage: Eukaryota; Metazoa; Arthropoda; Malacostraca; Decapoda; Hippolytidae
Description: tRNA-Leu
Source: RNAcentral
CUAGAAUGGCAGACCAUUGCAUAGGAUUUAAGCUCCUAAUAGGAAAUCACUUAUUGUUUCUUCUAGAAA